This 19464-nucleotide long non-coding RNA is filed under the name Malus domestica (apple). RNAcentral's name for it is "long non-coding RNA (MDOM_LNC007877)". Lineage: Eukaryota; Viridiplantae; Streptophyta; Magnoliopsida; Rosales; Rosaceae. The record is from RNAcentral.
GCAAAGUAGACUAGCAAACAUGCCCAACCUUUACUCACAUUCAAGAAAACACUCCCAACAAGAUUGCUUGCUCCAAAAUCGAAGAGGCACCGCCCUCCGAAUCUCGAGAGCCAGACUCCCAACAUGAUUACUUUCUCAAAAAUCGAAGAGACACCGCUAUCUGAAUCUCGAGAGCCAGACUCCCAGCAGGAUUGCUUUCUUAAAAAUCGAAGAGGCACCGUUCUUCGAAUCUCGAGAGUCAGAUCCUCGACAGGAUUGCUUGUUCGAAAACCGAAGAGGCACUGCUUUCUCAACUUCGAGAGCCAGAUCUCCUUGGAUAAAGCUUGUCUGUAAUCUUCACACGCAACAUCAGCUUUCCAGAUACCACAGACCACUUUUUCAAAGUGCUCUGACACACGUGAAGCUGGCAGCUCCCACUACCGUGCUAUGACCAAGCAGGGUAAAGGAAUAGCAUUACUACUUGUUGUUAGGGAGACUCCUAUAUAUGUCGACCUCCAUCCUCAACGGAUAGGCAGACCUGCAAAAAUACUCAACCCUUCCUCAUAUCUGAGAGGGCACUCCCAACGAAGCCUCUCGAAAUACUCAGCUUUCAUUCCCCCUGAUAAUACCUUUGCAAACAAGCUACACCAGAGCAAGAAUAUCUCAUAUCAUCAGGGUUAAAAACAAGAGUAUCCCAUAUCAUACUUUUUCCUUAUCUUUUCCUUUGACCUUGUUUUUACCUGCAAGACAAGGAGAAAGAUAACAAUCAGUCAGCACUUGGAAUCAAGCUUCCAGUCAGGAACUGACUGCCUGGAACCCCUUACCUGAUUACUUACCUGGCAUUGCUCUCGAGUACUCAUCUUCAACAUCUUAUGCUUCCAGAUAAGAUACCACAUCUGCCUGAGGAACAGAUAGGGAAAGUGAGAAGGAUACAAGGAAGCAUGUGGAGACAAGCGUAACAGAACACGUGCCGAUACAUCCACUACUUUGUCAACAGCAAAAGUAUCCCAUAUAAGCAGGGUCGAAUGUACUCUAGGUUUGAUGGACUUGUUUUGACCCCGCAAAUUCUUCAGUCGGCCUUAUACUCUGGAGGAAACCAGAAAACCCUCCAGCCCAGUUCAAGAAUAAGCCUGUGGAAAGUUACUUCUUCAAAAGCAAAAGUAUCUCAUAUCAUAUAUUCUCUUUUUUCUUCUCUUUAUCCUUCAUGCUGCCUGCAAGAUAGGGAGAAUGAGAACAAUCAGCCGAAACUCGAAAUUAAACUUCUGAUCUGGGACUGAUUGCUUAGAGCUCUGAUUGCUUACCUUGUCUGUCACCUCUUUCAGCAGAUCCCCUAGCUCGACGACUUGGGGGACUCCUACUACAUGGUUUGUAUUGUGCUUGACCAAGCAUGAAACUACAAGUAAGCUUCAAGUGAAAUUGAUACAUUACCUUGUGCAUCUCCACCAGUUAACGAUACCACCCCUGGAUGGAGGAAGAGUACUUCCAGAGAAGAUGUCACAUCUACCUAUGAGACAGAUAAGGCAAGUGAAGACGAUACCACACUUUGGUACUUAGAAGUUUCGUGAUUACGAGAUCAUUCUCCCACACUAUUUCCUAAUGUCAUUUGUACUAAAUCAUUCACUUGUACUCACUAAAGGAGAGCUUGAACCUAUGUAUUGUGUAAACCCUUCACAAUUAAUGAGAACUCCUCUACUCCGUGGACGUAGCCAAUCUGGGUGAACCACGUACAUCUUGUGUUUGCUUUCCUGUCUCUAUCCAUUUACAUACUUAACCACACUAAUGACCAGAGCAAUCUAGCAAAGAUCACAAACUUAUUACUUUCUGUUGUACCAAAGUCCUCACUGAUUUUGUGCAUCAACAAUCCUUAAGUCCUUACCUUUUUGCGUUGGUAAUGGAUGAGUUAACAGGACAUAUUCAAGAUGAUAUUCCUUGGUGUAUGCUUUUAGCAAACGAUAUAGUGUUGAUAGAUGAAACUCAUGAGGGGUAAAUGCGAAGCUUAACCUUUGGAGAGAAGUGUUGGAAUCUAAAGGUCUUUGCCUAAGCCGAUCAAAGACAGAAUAUAUGGAGUGUAAGUUCAGUGCAAAUGGAGGCCAAAAUGAGUUUGGGGUGAGGAUCGGAGAUCAGGAAAUACCAAAAAGCGACCGUUUUCGCUACUUAGAAUCUAUCUUGCAAAAGAACGGAGAAUUAGAUGGAGAUCUCAACCAUAGAAUACAAGCUAGAUGGAUGAAGUGGAAGAGUGCAUCCGGCAUGUUGUAUGACCGUCGUAGGCCACUGAAGCUCAAGGGAAAAUUUUAUAGGAUGAUAAUAAGGUCAGCGAUGCUGUAUGGCACAAAAUGUUGGGCGGUGAAGCAUCAACACGUACACAAAAUGGGUUUGGACAUGUGCAAAGAAGGCCUCAUGACGCUCUGGUUCGAAGAUCUGACUACGUGAUAGAGGUUCAAGGCCGAAGGGGUAGAGGAAGACCUAGGAAAACUUGGGAAGAGACCCUAAGAAAAGACUUAGAGUACUUGGAUCUAAUGGAGGACAUGACACAAAACCGAGCGCAAUGGCGUUCUAGGAUUCAUAUAGCCGACCCCACUUAGUGGGAAAAGGCUUUGUUGUUGUUGUUGAUGUUAAUGUUCCAUAUGUAUAUCAAAAAUGAGACAUUAUAUUUUUGUGGUGGCAUUUUAAACACAUCUAAUGCGUCUAUCACUUUCUCAAUUGGAGAAUAGAGAUGAUUUAGAGCGCACAAAUUAGUCUUUUUAGGGUUCUUGGUAAAGUUAAAACAUCGUUUUGGGCACAUUGCUUACAAAUUCAUGUGUUUUUUUUCUUUUGACAAAUCCAUGCACUUUGAGGGGUAUGCUCACAGACCCGUCUUUGACGGGAGCACCUGAUUUCGCUGGGUCCAAAUUUUUUGUUUUUACUUAAUAGAUACUAGCAUUUGCUUACACAUUUUUUUGGAAAAUGAGAAGGAGAGAGGGAGAGAGAGAAUGUGGGGAAGUGGGAGGUGUUUUCGGUUUUUUUUUUUUUUAAAUAUUGGAGGUAUUUUAAUAUCACAUGUAGGUGAGGUUUCAAUAAAAAACAGUAAAAUUUGGAUCUGUGAAAGUACAUUAUUGCCCACCAUUUUUUUUUUUGUGAUAGAAGACUAAGUUGUCUUUUCAUCCUCUUUUGAUUGACAAAGAGAUUUUAAUUAAUUAGUAGAGAUAUGAUAUUUAAUAUUUAAUAAAUGUAGAAAUAAUGACAAAGCAAUGUUUUUUUUUAAAACACUUAAGCUUUUUCCCCCAAGGUUCGUGUUUCAAAUCCCGUGUGUGAUAUUCUUUUAUGAAUUGUUUUUAAUUCAAUUUUUCUAUUUUGAAAAAAAGGAUCAUACCAUGUACAUUUAAGAGGGGCCGUGCAAUUUAAGAACCUGCUUUGCCGUCUUUAUUUUUUUUAAUCAAGACAAACUAAAACUACCCCUAACAACAAAAAGAAACGUAUUUCAAGUGUAUAGCAAGUAUGAACCAUAGCCUUCACCAUCAUUCCUCUGCAAAUCCUUUUAUCUCACUUCCUCUCUGUCUGUUUCUUUUUCAAAUUUCUAAGUAUCUUUAUACAGGUGAAGGGGUGAAUCAAAAUAUAUCAUUAGGUUUAGAAGAUUGCAACUCAAGGAAAGCCUAUAGAAGACUAUGAAUAUAAUCUUUUUUUUGUUUUAGUCUAGAUGUUCAUGAUAGAUGACAUGAUAAUAUAUUUAAGAAUUCAAAAAAGACAACUUACAUGGCCUUAGGCAAGCCAUUGUUGAGCGUCCGCAGUGAGGGGCUCUAUAUAAGGCUAGAAAAGUGGUGGAUAUAACUAAUUUUUGAGCUCCAAGGAAUCUUUGGGGUUUUAUAAAAGAAUCUCUUCUAAUGAGGAGCUAUAUCUUUCGGGCUCUAUAUAGGGCUAUAUAUAUUUAUUUAUGUAGUAAUUUGAUUAAGCGAUAAUUUAUUUUUGUGUGUUAGUUUUUCUUAAGUUGAUUUUUAGACGUGUUAUCUUAAUUUUUUUUUAUAUGAACCUUUCAACCUAAAAAGUUCAAAUUGUGACAAUGUUAGAUUUCAUCACUUAUCAAUCGUUUGUUGGAUUAGAUUCCCCUAUCUCAAUCUCAUCCGUUGAAAGAAGCAAACCCCCACUUUGCCCUCUGAAUAAUUUGACUUUCAUGUAUAACACAACAAUUUACCUAGCACCAAUUGAUAAAUUAGUAUCAUACAAUUUUAAAAAAAAAUUAUUUGAAAAUUUCACUCAUCAAUGCCCAUGAACGUUAAAUCAAUUUGAAAUUUUAAUUCUUAUGGAAUUUAAAACAAUCAUUAAUUAGCCAAAUUGCAAGAAAAAUAACUAAGAAAAAAGAAUUAAAAAUAAUAAAAGGAGAAUAUAAGUGUAUUCGUAGGUAGAGGGAGAGUGAUAGAAUUUUGCUCACAUGGAUUGCUACUUUUUUGUGGGCCCUUCAAUCUUCAAUGCAUAACAAUCAUAGAAUUUGUCUUUUGUGAAUGCUUGAAUAUCAUAUCAUCACUUAUGAACAUAUAAACUGGAACAAAAUAAUAAUAAUAAUAAUAACACCCAACAAAAUAUAUCCACAACCAUAAAAUAUAAAUUCAUAGUUUACCAAAUUAAAAAAAGAUUAAACUCAUAGAUUCCAUAUGCUUACAUUAUUUGCAAUCCUCUAAACCUAGUUAUAUAUUUUGAUUCGCCCCUUCAAUUGUAUAGAGAGGCUUAGGAUUUGAAAAAGAAAGAGACGAAGAGGAAGAAAGAAUAAAAGAAUUGCAGAGGAAUGAUGGUGAAGGCUAGGGUUCAUGCUUGCUAUGUAAAAAAAACAAGCCAAAGACAAUUACACGUAAAAUAUAUUCCUUUUUGUUGUUAGGGAUUAGUUUUAGUUUAUCUUGAUUUAAAAAAUGGGAACUUUAACGAAAAGCACCCGGUACUGUUCACUUUAAAGAAAAACCACAUUUUUACACUAAAAAGUCAAUCCUGGUACUAUUCACUUUACCCUUUAUUUUGUCCUUAUCAUUAAAACUCAAAGUUUUCAAGCUUUUUCAUUAGUUUUCCUUAAAAAAAAUCAGGCCGGCAAAGUAGAGUGCACAUUGGAGUAGGGGUGGAAAAAAUUCCCAAAAAUCUCGAACCAAACCGAAAAAAUCCCGAUCCCAAACCAAAAAUUUCCCAAACCGAAAUUCCCGAAAAUUUUGGGAUGCUAUCCAGAACCGAUCCCGAAAUUUGGGUACGGGAUUCAGGAUUGGCUUCUCGAUAUUUCGGGAAUCCCAUACCGAACCAAAAAUGUAUAAUAUUAAUUAUUAUUAUAUAUAUAUAUUUCUACAUAUAUAUUAUAUAUAUUAUUCUUUUAUAAUUGAUGCUAGUAGUUUCUAAUUCAUGCUCUGCAACCUGGAAUGCCCUACACCUUGCAUAUUUUUCAUGUUCUGUUUAAUAUUCAUUUGGAUUUUAUUAUUGCUGCUACCAUGGUUGAUGAUUUCAGAAUGCUUGAUUCUUUUGUCUCUUAAUAGAUUGCAAAAAGGGUUUAAUUAAUUUGAAUUUUGACUUUGAUAAAAAUAGUCAGGCAUGCCAGUGUUCGAUUAAAUGGUAGUGUGAAUGAAAUGACAUUCCUAGUUCUUGAAUUAUAUAUUUGAAGAACAAUUCAUAAUUUAAAAUUUAAAUUUGGGAUUCCCGAUUUGUCUCGAAAUCCCAAAAAUAUUUUGGGAUUCCCGAAAUUUGGGAUUCCCGAAAAUUUGGUUUGGGAAUGGUCUUCAAAUUCCCGUCCCGAAAAUUUUCGAUUUGGAAUUCGGGAUACUAGUUUCGGUAUGGUAUCCCAUACCGAACCACCCCUACACAGGAGUCAUAUGGACCAUUUUUCAAAACAGAAAAAUCAAAUUAAAAACAAUACAUAAAAACAGAGCGAUUCGCAAGUGAUUUCUAGGAUGUUACGUACCCAUUUUUUUUUAAUGGUAUUUCAUUGUGUCUCCACUAUACAACAUUUGAAACAUACUUAGGUUAGAAAACCUUAAUUUUGACGCAUAUGUGGAAUUUUUGGGUUAGGUCUUUGUUUCUAGUUAACUUUAAUUUAUUAUUCCGACAGUUUCUCUCUUUGGCUGGCUGGUUUUAUACGUAUAUUCUGGAGUCUGCACCAAGAAUUAGUCUACUAAUUUUGUUCCCGAUUUAUUUAUUUAUUUCUUCUUCUGGACCAUCAUCUCGAACCUUGCAAGACUUAGCCAUGCAUAGUCAAGGUCAUGAUCAUAUUACUAUUGAAGACCCAGCUCAAUCUCAAUUUGUGCAAUAAUUUAUCUCGCUAUUAGACCUAUAAAUAGCCCUCCAAAUACAAAGCUUUUGCAAUAUAUCCACAAUCUGCUUAAUCAUAAGUGCUUAAGUAGUUUACAAUGGCUUCAAAAUGUACUCUUUCUCUGUUCACAAUCACUUUUCUCUUUGUCCUCCUUUCUCUCUUCUCCCAUGCAACGUCGUCAGAAACCCACAACAAAAACACGUCGCCAUUCGAGUUUCUCAACCAUCUUAAGGGGUGUCACAAGGGCGACAAGGUCCAAGGCAUCCAAGACCUAAAGAAGUACCUUGAAAAAUUUGGAUACUUAAACGGCCAUUCCGAUAAUGAUGAUUUCGACGACAUCUUGGAGUCAGCGAUCAAAACUUACCAGCUCAACUACCACCUCAAAGCCACCGGAACAUUAGAUGCCAAAACCGUAUCAAAAAUGAUGAUGCCGCGAUGCGGUGUGCCAGACAUCAUCAAUGGCACCACCUCCAUGCGAUCGGGAAAGAAAAGACACCCUCACCACCACAGCGGACAUGGUUCGCCUCACACAGUUGCUCAUUAUUCUUUCUUCCCUGGAAACCCUAAAUGGCCUUCUUCUAAGUACCAUCUCACCUAUGCUUUUGAUCAAACCACCCCAACUGAGGCCCGGGACGCAGUUGCGCGCGCUUUUGCUGUUGAAUUAUAAGUCUCUAGCUGAUUAAGUAUUAGAAAUAAGAUGAGUUUUAAUGUGUGUAUUCAUUUGAGCAUAUAUGCCAAGUGUAAGGUUAAAUGAUGUAAGGCCAUGAGUGCCAUGUGGUGUUUGAUCCAUGUAAUUAGGUUGAUGAGUGACUAAGAUUAAAAGUAGUGUUUAGUGUGGUCCUAAAGCUAAGGCCAUCAGUUAAAUGUAAAGCAGUGUGAGUGCUCAUUUCUCUGUGUAGUACAAAAUAUUCCUCUGCAAUAUUUUUGCAGUAGAGAACAAGAAAGAAAAAAAAAAACUAUUUUUCGGUUCAUCUUCCAUCUUUGCUUUUGCUUCUGUUCAGUAUUCUAAAAAAAAAAUCCAGCUAAAUUAGAGUAACACUAACAUGGCCUCAGAGCCUUGUUUCGAUUAGAUCUGGGCGUGUUUCUGUGAGCUCAAACGUCACCGUCUCUGGACUUGGUGAAGUUUGCCGGAGCUUAUCUGUGAUCUAAGAACUACGUGUUUCUGGGUUCACACAAGCUCACGAUGGCUGGACCUGGGAGUGCUGAAGUGAGGACCCCGAUCUUUCUCCGGUGAGAACUACGAGUUCUGGAGAAUCAAAAUGGUUACCAUUUUCAAGUCGUAUGGACUGUGGAAUCUGGUGGAAAAAGGGAUUCCGGUUCCUGAUUCGAAGAAGAAGGAAGCUAAGACUGAUGAACAUACAGAGGUUGAUGUUGACGAUGAUGAGAAAAUGGCUGCAAUCUUCAUGAAAGAUGCAAAAGCUCUCGGAAUCAUUCAAAGCGCAGUCUCCGAUCAGAUUUUCCCUCGAAUCGCAAACGCAGACUCAGCAAAAAUGGCAUGGGAUCUGUUAUAUGGCGAAUAUCACGGUGGGGAUCAGGUAAGAUCUGUGAAACUCCAGAAUCUUAGACGAGAAUUUGAAUACACUAGAAUGCGUGAUGAUGAAUCUUUGACUGGGUAUCUUACUCGUUUAAAUGAUCUGAUUAAUCAAAUGAAGACGUUUGGUGAAACUAUGUCAAAUGAGAGAUUAGUUCAGAAGGUGUUAAUCAGUCUCACUAAGAUAUAUGAUCCUAUAUGCUUAGUGAUAGAAAACACUAAAUGUUUAGAAUCUGUUGAACUGCAAGAGGUAUUAGCUAUAUUGAAGAGUCAAGAGCAGAGGUUUGAUUUGCAUUCCUCAGAUGCAACUGAGAGAGCAUUUUCUUCUCUUACUGUUAGUUCAAAAGGGCAGAAUCGAAGUUAUGCUCAGUCUAGUACCUUUAAACCACAGAGAAAUUGGAAUCAAAAGGGCAAGAAAUGGGAGUCAAAACCAAAGUUUCAGCAAAAAUCAUACACACAAGUGUUGCACAGAAUAGUACUUCCUCACAGGGUAUGGGUCAAGAGAGUGUAAAACCUCAAUGUAAGGUGUGUUCAAAGUUUCAUUAUGGUGAAUGUAGGUAUAAGGGGAAAUCUAAGUGCUAUAACUGUGACAGAUUUGGGCACUGGGCAAAAGAAUGUACUGUUGGAAAGUCUGUUCAAAAGGCAAACUGUGCCAGUCAAAUGGAAGUAACAGGGAACUUGUUUUAUGCAAAUUGUGCAGUUGCUGAGACUAAGGUUAAUGGAGAUUGGUACAUAGAUAGCGGCUGCAGUAAUCAUAUGACAGGAAAUGUUGAUCUUCUUGUUGAUGUGAAUACGAAUGUUGCAGGGAAGGUUCAAAUGCCAACAGGAGGAUUAGUUAAUGUGGCAGGAAUUGGAUCACUGGAAAUUGAGACUAACAGAGGAAGAAAAUACAUUCGAGAAGUCAUGUACCUACCUGGCUUGAAAGAGAAUCUACUUAGUGUAGGACAAAUGGAUGAGCACGGAUACUAUCUUGUGUUUGGUGGAGGUAUGUGUACUGUCUUUGAUGGCCCUUCUCUGGAAUGUCAAAUUAUCAGUGUAAAGAUGAGAGGAAACAGAUGCUAUCCUCUAUCUCUAAGUUCUGAAAAGCAACUUGUGUUGAAGCUCAGUUUUGCUAACUGUGCCCGGACUUGGCACAGAAGACUUGGCCACCUAAACUUUGGUGGAAUCAAAAAAUUGAAGGAGAAAGAUAUGGUUCAUGGAUUACCAGAUCUAGAAGAGAAUGAUAGAGUCUGUGAAGGUUGUCAAUAUGGUAAACAGCACAGAGAAAGUUUCCCUAGUGGUCAAACACAAAGAGCUGGUGCUUCACUCGAAUUGAUCCAUGUUGAUCUAUGUGGACCAAUGAGAAAUGAAUCCACUGGAGGAAACAAAUACUUUAUGCUGCUUGUGGAUGAUGCAACACGAAUGAUCUGGGUAUACUUUCUUAAAUAUAAAUCUGAGGCCUUCUCCUGCUUUCAAGAAAUUCAAAGCAAUGACUGAGUUACAAACUGGUUUAAGGGUGAAAUGUCUGAGGAGUGACAGAGGAGGGGAGUUCUUGUCUACUGAGUUCAAUCAGUUCUGUGAUACAGAAGGCAUUCAAAGGCAACUUUCUCUUGCAUACACUCCACAGCAAAAUGGAGUGGUGGAAAGGAAAAACAGAACCGUGGUUGAAAUGGCUAAGUCUAUGCUACACGAUAAAGGAAUGCCCUAUUAUAUGUGGGCAGAAGCUGUGCAUACUGCUGUGUACAUUCUGAAUCGAUGUCCUACCAGGUCUCUUGAUAACAUAACCCCCUUUGAAGCUUACAGUGGAAGGAAACCGGGUAUUGCACAUUUGAAGAUUUUUGGCUCAGUUUGUUAUGUUCAUAUCCCAGCUGAAUUAAGGCACAAAUUAGAAGCUAAGAGUCUAAAGGGAGUUUUUAUUGGCUAUGCAAGGUGUGAGAAAGGUUAUAGGGUCUUUGAUCCAUUUUCUAAAAGGGUAAUACUGUCAAGAGACGUUGUGUUUGAUGAAGAUUCAAGUUGGAAUUGGCAGGAAAGCACAGAGAAACAUGUGUCUAUGUUCAAUUAUGAAGGGCAGUCUGGUGAGUCACCAAGCAGUGCAUUCACAGAGGUUGAGACCCCAACCUCUAAUACUUUGCCAUCUAGAAGUUUGACAGAAAUAACAAGUGAUACUGAUAAUGCACCGGUUACUCCUCAAGUCCAAUCUACUGAAUCCUCUAGUAGAUCUUGUGAAAGUACAAGAGAUUCACAAGUGAUUGAUCAUACUCCAUUAAAAUGGAGAAGGCUGGAUGAUGUACUUGCUAAAUGUAAUCUGUGCAUUAUGGAACCAGAGAGAUAUGAAGAUGCAAGUAAGGAUGAAUCUUGGAUGAAUGCUAUGAAGGAUGAGCUUUCAAUGAUUGAAAAAAAUGCAACCUGGGAGUUAGUGGACAGGCCAAGUAACAAGCCUAUAAUUGGAGUAAAAUGGGUGUUUAAAACCAAGCUCAACUUGGAUGGAACUGUGCAAAAGAACAAGGCAAGGCUUGUUGCAAAGGGAUAUGCCCAGAAACCAGGAAUAGAUUACAACGAGACCUUUGCUCCUGUUGCCCGUUUAGAUACAAUCAGAACUCUUAUAGCAUUGGCUGCACAAAAGUGUUGGAAACUCUAUCAACUUGAUGUCAAAUCGGCUUUUCUGAAUGGUGUUCUAGAGGAGGAGGUUUAUGUGGAGCAGCCUGAUGGUUUUGUAGCUAAAGGGGAGGAAGACAGGGUAUACAAACUUCACAAAGCCUUGUAUGGUCUAAAACAGGCACCACGGGCCUGGUAUGGAGAAAUAGAUACCUAUUUCUCACAAUGUGGUUUCACAAGAAGCUUAAGUGAACCAACACUGUACAUCAAGACAGAAGAGGAAGGCAUUUUGAUUGUGUCGAUCUAUGUGGAUGACAUAAUCUAUACUGGGAGCAACAAACAAAUGCUUGAAGAAUUCAAGGAAGACAUGAAACGAAAGUAUGAGAUGACUGAUUUGGGCCUUCUCUACAUCAUUUUCUUGAAAUGGGAAUAAUUCAGACCACUUCAAGCAUUUUCAUCCACCAAAAGAAAUAUGCAAGCUCUUUGUUAGACAAAUUUGGUCUAAAAGAGUGCAAACCUGUGCUUACUCCAUUAGUUGCAACUGAGAAGUUAACCACGAAUGAUGGAAGUGGUGCUGCAAGUGAAGAGUUAUACAGAAGUUUUGUGGGAAGUCUCUUAUAUCUCACUGCAACCAGGCCUGAUAUUAUGUAUGCAUCCAGUCUGUUAGCCAGAUUUAUGCACUGCCCUACCAGUAAGCAUGUUGGAACUGCUAAAAGAGUGCUAAGAUACAUUAAGGGUACACUUGAUUAUGGUCUGGAAUAUGUGAAGGGUAAGAACUCAAUGUUAAUUGGGUUCUGUGACAGUGACUGGAGUGGAUCAAUUGAGGACAGUAAAAGUACUUCUGGUUAUGCUUUCUCCUUUGGCAGUGGAGUAUUCUCUUGGGCAUCUGUGAAGCAAAAUUGCGUUGCUCUUUCCACUGCAGAAGCAGAGUACAUCAGUGCUUCAGAAGCAACUACUCAAGCCAUUUGGUUGAGAUUUGUGCUUGAAGACUUUGGUGAAUUUCAAACCGAAGCCACUCCAGUGCACUGUGACAACACCUCAGCAAUUGCAAUCACCAAGAACUCUGUGUUUCAUCAAAAGACCAAACACAUUAACAGAAGAUACCAUUUCAUCAAGGAUGCACUGAAGGAUGGUAUCAUUGAUCUGGUGUACUGUCCAACUAAUGAACAACUUGCUGAUAUCUUCACAAAACCUCUGCCUAAAGAUCGGUUUAAUUAUCUCAGGAACAUGCUAGGAGUGAAAUCAGCUCAAGACUUAAAGGGGAGUGUUGAAUUAUAAGUCUCUAGCUGAUUAAGUAUUAGAAAUAAGAUGAGUUUUAAUGUGUGUAUUCAUUUGAGCAUAUAUGCCAAGUGUAAGGUUAAAUGAUGUAAGGCCAUGAGUGCCAUGUGGUGUUUGAUCCAUGUAAUUAGGUUGAUGAGUGACUAAGAUUAAAAGUAGUGUUUAGUGUGGUCCUAAAGCUAAGGCCAUCAGUUAAAUGUAAAGCAGUGUGAGUGCUCAUUUCUCUGUGUAGUACAAAAUAUUCCUCUGCAAUAUUUUUGCAGUAGAGAACAAGAAAGAAAAAAAAAAACUAUUUUUCGGUUCAUCUUCCAUCUUUGCUUUUGCUUCUGUUCAGUAUUCUAAAAACAAAUCCAGCUAAAUUAGAGUAACACUAACAACAUGGGCAGGCAACACACACUUCUCGUUCAGUCAAUCCCAAACCUAUGAGAACGCGGAUCUGACAAUAAGUUUUGCUAGUGGUGAUCAUGGAGAUGGGAACCCAUUUGACGGCCGAGGCGGGACCCUUGCUCAUGCAUUUGCACCGACCAAUGGGAGAUUCCACUACGAUGCCGAUGAGCCGUGGGCUGUGGGAGCUGUGGAGGGUGCUUAUGACUUGGAGACUGUGGCAUUGCAUGAAAUCGGACAUCUGUUGGGGCUACGACAUAGCUCUGUUGAAGGAGCUGUGAUGUCCUCCACCGUUCGUACUGGAUUUGCUCAAAGUUUGCAUGCAGAUGAUAUUCAAGGAAUUAAAGCUUUAUAUAGUACUUGAUCUUCACAUGCAUAUUCACAUAAUCAAGAGUACUCAAAGAUUAAUCAUUAAAUUAAGUAGUAUUUAUUAUUGAAGUUCACCCUUUUUUUCAUCCCUUAAUCAAAUAAGGUACCUCAACUUGAGUGUAUUGAAAUUCUGCAAUAAUUAAUUAAAGUUGUAGCAGCAUACAUAUGCUGAAAAUAUGAUUUUUUUUUGGAGCUUUUGAAGCUUAUAGAAAUAUGGAUGUCUGGCCUUCUAUAUGUUGAACGUGUGUUAACUCUGAUGUUUUAGGAACAUGCACAUAUAAUGCAACUUUCAAUUUGUUUUGUAUUUACAGUCAAUUUGUUUUGUGUAAUUGUGUUUCUGCUAAAAUAUUUGAAAAUUUUAUGUAUUAUAUUCUUCUUUGUAUUGAGGCCAAUCCGCCAAUAUGUGUACAGAUUAAUUAUAAGGGAAGAAAACUACAAGAUUGUAAGAAAACCUUAUUACAAAUAGAUGAUAGAAUAGUAUUUUUGCUCUCCUCCUUCCUCUCCUUCCCAGUUGGAGUCUUCCAUCAAAACUUACCAGCUUAACUACAGCCUCAAUUCUACCGUAAAACUAGACGCGGAAACUGUACGGAAUAUGAUGAAGUCUUGAUACGGUGUUCCGGAUAUUGUCAACGGCACCACCUCUAUGCAAUCAGGAAAUAAACCUCACCAUAACGGUGGACAUGGUUUGACUAACACGGUUGAGCAUUAUUCUUUUUUGGAGUUUUAACGAAACACUUCCGGUACUGUUUACUUUUAUCGAAAAACCACAUUUUUACCUUUUCCUGAUAUUAUUCAUUAUAUCUUUAUUUGUCAUUUUUCAUUAAAAUUAAAAUUUGUUUGAACUUUUCGUUAGUUUUCUAUUUUUCAUAAACGUGCUCAUGGAGAUGGAUACCCAUUUGAUGGCCACCGUGGAGUCUUGGCCCAUUCUUUUGCACCUACUGAUGGGAGAUUUCACUUCGACGCGGAUGAACGGUGGGCUGUGGAUGUUGUGACGGGUGCUUAUGACUUGUAGUCUGUGGCUUGGCAUGAAAUUGGGCAUCUGCUUGGGCUUGGGCAUAGUUCUCUGUUCGAGGAGCUGUAAUGCUUCCCACCAUUAGCUCUGGCUUCACACGCCGGAGACUGACUAGGGAUGAUAUUAGUGGAAUCAAAGCUCUAUACAACAUUGGAUCGAUGAUGAUCACCACGUUCACUUAUUAGUAAGUUCAUCAAAAGCCGUGAACUUAUAAUAUUCAUAAUUUUCUGUAUCAAAUAAAUUUGUCAAAAUCCAUGAACUUAUAAUGUUUCUUAAUUUCUUGUAUCAAAUAAAUAUACCUAUUGUACGAAAAAAUUUAUCUUAUAACGGGUAAAAAUUCUCCUCUGAGCAUAUAACUGACGAUAAUUAAGAUUCUCCAAUCAAAUAAACUGUACCUAAAUGUUAUAAAAUAAUAAACAAAUAAAAGUUGUACCGGUAUGUAUAUGUUGGACAAAAUUACAAAGAGCUUUAUUUACAGAUUUCAUCUUCCAAGUCCAAAUCCUUCAUACUCGUGUAACACCUAGACAAAAUUACAUAAAACACAAAGCUCAAUGCACUUAGUGAGGCCAAAAAACCAGUAGUAUUUAUCAAGUCUAGCUUCAUUCAUGUAACUCCGCCUAUGUCUUACAUGGCCGGUCCCAAGCCCGGAUAAAGGAGGAGGGGGAGGGCGUCAGGUAGUCGACAGCCGGCACUCCAUGAUCACGUCGAAUCCUUAUGAAAAUGAAUCCAGAACAAAAUCGCGCUAAAGCUAGGGCGUCACCCGUAAGUGGCGCGCUGUGUGGCCCGAGCACAGUGAUAAGUGAGCAAGGGUCGCUGUAUCUCCAUCGGCACCCGGAUGCAGUGUUAAAUGAGCAAGGGGGCCAUAGAAACUUCUUUUCGAACGACUCCACUCAAAGUUGUUUGGGAGCAUAUGCUCCUAUCAACUUUACCCGGGACACACAAAAGAAGUACUUUGAUCCUAUUAGACGGGGGAGGGUGAAGAAUCUAGGACAGAAGGGUAGAGUUCAAGAGAGCAAAAUGCGUUUAGGAACGUGGAAUAUAGGAACCUUAACGGGAAAAUCUAUGGAAGUAGUGGAAGUUAUGGUGAGGAGAAGGAUAAAUAUUAUGUGCCUACAAGAAACUAAGUGGGUGGGUAGUAAGGCAAAGGAUCUAGAAAACUCAGGGUUUAAACUUUGGUAUUCGGGCACAAAUAGAACGAGAAACGGUGUUGGCAUCAUCGUGGAUAAGACCUUGGUACAAGAUGUUGUAGAUAUCAAGAGGGUAGGAGAUAGAAUCAUGGCAAUCAAGAUUGUAAUAGGACAAGAACUUAUCAAUGUGAUUAGUGCGUACGCACCUCAAGUAGGGUUGGAUACGAGUUCGAAGGAGAAAUUUUGGGAAGAUCUUGGAGACUUGGUGCAAGGAAUUGCUCAGACGGAGAAGUUAUUUUAUAGGAGGAGAUUUAAAUGGACACGUGGGCAGGGAGACAGGCAACUAUGGAGGUUUUCAUGGUGGCCAUGGUUUUGGGGAGAGAAACGAGGAUGGGGAAGCUAUCUUGGAUUUUGCAAUGGCAUAUGAUCUCUUCUUAGCCAACACCUUCUUUAAGAAGAGAGAAGAACAUGUGAUCACCUACAAGAGUGGGUCGUCAAAAACACAAAUAGAUUUUCUUCUAAUGAGGAAAGGGGAUCGUAUAACUUGUAAGGAUUGCAAAGUUAUACCAGGAGAGAGCGUGGCUAAUCAACAUCGCUUGUUGGUGAUGGAUGUACAUAUCAAAAGAGUAAGACAAAAAGAACAAGACUUGGAAGUGCCCAAGAACUAGAUGGUGGAAUCUAAAAGAAGAAAAACAAGCCAUUUUCAAAGAGAAGGUAAUCACCCAAUGUGUGUGGGAUAGAGAGGGGGAAGCUAGCCAAAUGUGGGAUUCCAUGGCUAGUUGUAUCCGAAAAGUAGCAAAAGAGGUAUUAGGAGAGUCCAAGGGCUUUGCCCCACACCAAAAGGAAUCUUGGUGGUGGAAUGAGGAGGUACAAACAAAGGUGAAGGCUAAGAAGGAAUGUUGUAAAGCCUUAUACAAGGAGAGGACCGAUGAAAAUGGUGAAAGGUAUAGAAAAGCGAAGCAAGAGGCGAAGAAAGCUGUCAGAGAAGCUAAGUUAGCGGCUUACGACGAUAUGUAUAAACGACUAGAUACCAAAGAAGGAGAGUUGGAUAUCUAUAAACUAGCUAGAGCAAGGGAAAAGAAGACAAGGGACCUAAACCAAGUGAGGUGCAUCAAGGAUGAGGAUGGAAAGGUUCUUGCUACAGAGAACGCGGUUAAAGACAGAUGGAGAGGUUAUUUUCAUAAUCUUUUCAAUGAAGGACAUGAAAGGAGUGCUUCUUUAGGGGAGUUGAGUAACUCAGAAGAGUGUAGAAAACUACCUUUUAUCGUCGAAUCCGGAAGGAAGAAGUGGUUGUAGCUUUGAAGAAGAUGAAGCAUAGAAAAGCAAUAGGCCCAGACGAUAUACCAAUCGAAGUGUGGAAAGUUUUGGGAGAGACAGGUAUAACAUGGCUCACUGACCUUUUCAAUAGGAUUUUGAAAACGAAGAAGAUGCCAAAUGAGUGGCGAACGAGCACUUUGGUGCCUAUCUACAAGAAUAAGGGCGACGUACAAAAUUGCAUGAACUAUAGGGGUAUUAAGCUAAUGAGUCAUACAAUGAAGCUCUGGGAGAGAGUCAUUGAGCAUAGAUUGAGGCAAGAGACACGGGUUUUCGGACAACCAAUUCGGGUUCAUGCCAGGGCGCUCAACCAUGGAGGCAAUCUAUCUCUUACGAAGAUUGAUGGAAAGAUAUAGAGAUGGGAAAAAGGAUUUACACAUGGUCUUUAUAGAUUUGGAAAAAGCGUAUGAUAGGGUCCCAAGAGACAUUCUUUGGAGGAUUUUAGAGAAGAAAGGAGUACGAGUAGCAUAUAUCCAAGCUAUAAAGGAUAUGUAUGAAGGAGCAAAGACUGCCGUAAGAACUCAUGAAGGACAAACCGAAAGCUUUCCCAUAACUGUAGGAUUACAUCAAGGCUCAUCCUUAAGUCCUUACCUUUUUGCGUUGGUAAUGGAUGAGUUAACAGGACAUAUUCAAGAUGAUAUUCCUUGGUGUAUGCUUUUCGCAGACGAUAUAGUGUUGAUAGAUGAAACUCAGGAAGGGGUAAAUGCAAAGCUUAACCUUUGGAGAGAAGCGUUGGAAUCUAAAGGUCUUCGCCUAAGCCGAUCAAAGACAGAAUAUAUGGAGUGCAAGUUCAGUGCAAAUGGAGGCCAAAACGAGUUAGGGGUGAGGAUCGGAGAUCAAGAAAUACCAAAGAGCGACCGUUUUCGUUACCUAGGAUCUAUCUUGCAAAAGAACGGAGAAUUAGAUGGAGAUCUCAACCAUAGAAUACAAGCUGGAUGGAUGAAGUGGAAGAGUGCAUCCGGCGUGUUGUGUGACCGCCGUAUGCCACUGAAGCUCAAGGGAAAAUUUUAUAGGACGGCAAUAAGGCCGGCGAUGCUGUAUGGCACAGAAUGUUGGGCGGUGAAACAUCAACACGUACACAAAAUGGGUGUAGCGGAGAUGAGGAUGCUUCGUUGGAUGUGUGGGCACACGAGAAAGGAUAAGAUUAGGAAUGAGGAUAUCCGGGGUAAAGUAGGAGUAGCCGAAAUUGAAGGAAAGAUGAGAGAAAAUCGGUUACGGUGGUUUGGACAUGUGCAAAGAAGGCCUACUGACGCUCCGAUUAGAAGAUGCGACUAUGGGACAGAGGUUCAGGGCCGAAGGGGUAGAGGAAGACCUAGGAAAACUUUGGAAGAGACUUUAAGAAAAGACUUAGAGUACUUGGAUCUAACGAAAGGACAUGACACAGGAUCGAGCACAAUGGCGUUCUAAGAUUCAUAUAGCCGAUCCCACUCAGUGACUUGGAUUUUCCAAGUCUCCAACCAAGAAGUUUUCCUCACUCGGGAAAUUAAGGGAACACUACCCCAACCUACAUGCUCCACUCAGAAAGCUUCAACAUACAAGCUUCAACAAAAGAAAAAUUCAAAGAACUUAGCGAAGAAGGCUUUGGUGUAUUUAACACAAUACGUUGAAAUGAAGGAAAGCUUAUUUAUUGAUAUCCCCGAUAAGCUACAAAUAUGUACAUAUACAUGAGUCAAAAUAAACACACAAGAGGGAGCCUUCACAAAGGUUGCUUAGGAGAAGUCUCAGCAGUCGGUAGAGCCCCAGAAAGAGAAGGCACCGGAGGGGGAUCAUUUGGAGCCUCAGUACUGGACAGAACCCUAGGAGGAGGAGGCAUCAGAGGUUGAUCAUUUGGAGCUUCAUUACGCGGUACAGUUCCAGAAGACGAAGGCAAUAAAUGCCUUUGGAACAAACCCACAAAUCUCUGAUGAUCAAGUAAAACCUGACCAUCAGUUUCCUUCAUCUGGUCAAGCUUCCUCUUCAUGUUUGUAGCAUAGUCAUGUGCGAGCCGGUGCAACUGUUUAUUCUCAUGCUUGAGCCCUCUAAUCUCCUGUUUGAGACUCAUCACUUCAGCCGCCAAUGAUUCAACUUGGCGGGUUCGAGCAAAUAGGCGUUGGGCCAUAUUAGACACAGAACCUGCACACUGAACACUGAGAGCCAGCGAAUCCUUAACAGCUAACUCAUCAGACCGUUUGGAAAGUAGUCUGUUAUCUUUGGGAGUGAGAAGGUUCCUGGCCACCACCGCAGCGGUCAUAUAUCAUUCUUCAUCACGGAAUCCCCAACGGUAAGAGGACCAGUUUGGGAGACGAAGGAUGGGCGCCAUAUGUUGUCUGGAGAAGGCGGGGCUGCCUCUUCAACAAGGUUCAAGUCAAAACGACGGUCGGAGGGGCCAGACAUUUUCAAAGGUGUUGAAGAGAGAAGAGGUCGGACAAAUCAAGAUAUUAGAAGUGCAAGAAUGAAGCUUCUACUGGUGGAGAUUCAAGUGUGCUUUGGAACUUAAUGCCAGCCUCUAUAAAAAUCUGCACUCGACGGAGCUUCAGAAAUCAAAGAGGCGCCUGCUCAGAAAUCGAAGAGGCGUUUGCUUUCUCAAAAGUUGGGCUGCUUAGAGAUCACGAGGGUUGAUCUCAGAAAUCGAAGAGCCGUUUGCUUUCUCAAAAGUUGGGCUGCUCAAAGACCACGAAGGCCGAUCUCAGAAAUCGAAGAGGCGCUCGCUUUCUCAAAAGCUGGGCUCCCUAGAGACCACGAGGGCCGAUCUCAGAAAUCGAAGAGGCACCUACUUUUCCAGCCUUGUCAGCACCUGUCACACGCACACUCAGCUUUGCGGAAAUUAUGGGCAUUCUGUCAAAGACUUCUGGGGAAGUAGAAAAACACAUGAAUCUUACUGUGUUCAAUCACCCCACUUCCCACACACGCAACAAUAGCUCAUGGGUACCACAGAUAACUUUUGCCAAAGUUCUCUGCCAAAGUUGAGCACGUGAAGCUUGCAGCUCCCACUACAUCGCUCUGACCAAGAAGGGUAAAAGAGAAUAGCAAAGAAACAGCACUAACAAAGUUUAGACCCAUAAAUUUUGAAGGUCUAGCUACCAUAUUAUUACCCACAAGGGUAAAGGAACAGUACCACUGCUGGAUAAUUGGAAAGUCCAUGUAUUGUCAACCUCUGUGUGCUUCGUGGCAAGGUAGACUAGCAAAUGACAUGCCCAACCACUUUACUCACAUUCGAGAAAAACACUCCCAAUAAGAUUGCUUGCUCCAAAAUCGAAGAGGCACCGUCCUCCGAAUCUAAAGAGCCAGACUCCUAACAUGACUACUUUCUUAAAAAUCGAAGAGCGGGUAAAGGAACAGUACCAUUGCUGGAUAAUUGGAAAGUCCCUGUGUGUGUCAACCUCUGUGCUUCGUGGCAAGGUAGACUAGCAAACAUGCCCAACCUUUACUCACUCACAUUCGAGAAAACACUCCCAACAAGAUUGCUUGCUCCAAAAUCGAAGAGGCACCACCCUCCGAAUCUCAAGAGCCACUCUCCCAACAUGAUUACUUUCUCAAAAAUCGAAAGAGACACUGCUCCCCGAAUCUCGAGAGCCAGACCCCCAGCAUGAUUGCUUUCUCAAAAAUCGGUGAGGUGAGGCACCGUUCUCUCGAAUCAAUCGAAGAGGCGCUCGCUUUCUCAAAAGCUGGG